GAGCUUUUUCUAAAGAGAUUUUGAUUCAUUCCCAUUGACACAACUUCAAAAUUCAAUGUAUCACACAAGGAACAACCCCACAACUGUCCCUGAAACACCUCACUAGUUAUACAUCCUAUUUUUAUCAUAGCAUCUUUCCUCCGGAUGCAAAACUUGAAAGCACAAAAAGUUUCCUUUCCACUUAGUCACAAAGGCUGUCCCAUCUUUUCCUUUGGACGCGACCCAAAAAGCUCAGUCAAAAGCUCUAAGAAAAAGUGAAACAGUCCUUAACUAAAUAGAUGAAUACAUUAGAGGACUUCUUGGGAGUUCUGGGAUUUGAUAUUUAUGAGGCUCUUUGAAUUAUGAAGUCCAAACACCCAAAGUGAAAACUCAAAGGCUCCAAGAAUCACAGCUCAUAAGAGUAUGAGCUAAUGGCUCAAUUUUCAGCAAACGUAUAGAAUGUUGAUGGUUUGACUUCCAAAGGAUUCACACAGAAGGUGAAAGGGACGCCACCCAAAUGGUUGUAAACAACUGGGUCAAGGACUUUCGAUUUUCGAUGUCAAGGUGUAACCUGGUUAAAGAUGUUAUACUUUGUUAUACAAUUAUGUUAAGAUAAAGGUGUGUAACUUCGUUAAAAACCUACAUGAUAGAUAGAUAGGGUUAAAAAGGUACAUGAUAAAUAAAUAAUAAAUGGUUAAAACGUUUCAUAAAGAGUGAAAAGGGCACAAUGUAAUACAAACGUUUCAAACGAUACAAAUAUAAAGUUAUGAAUCGCUUGUUUUAUUGUGAAAUAUUCCUUGCGGUCAGAGGAAGUAGAUUGGAGUUUUAUUGUGAAGGACCGAUUGCAGUGAGCGGAAGUAGAGGGGGUGACGGCGACGCUUGACUGACGUCACAGCGGAAAAGAGUCUGGGGAAAAGUUUGUGCAAACAAAUGUGUUAUUGAUGUCCUAAGAUUAUCCACUCGAGAGUCUUAAUCAGGAUAUUGCCUCUACAUACUCGUUAUGGGCAACUGGAGGCAUUUGUAUCCGAAGUUAACCAUACCGUUGUUCACGUGCUUGUAUUAGCUUCACCUGUGUAUUAGCUCAUUAGCUUAUAGGUGUUUAUUAUUAUUAGCAUUCAUUAGCAAAGUGAACGGCCACUUAGCCACUGCACAGCUAACCUAGCUUGCGCCGGGGGCUGUAGCGCGUCGUUUUCGACGUGGAAACCUUCAGGAUUUGUGACACUUGCAGCAGCUGUCCAGGUAACACUCAGGGUUCCGUCCACUUCGCGGGAGAGACCACACGUCAUCAGCUGCGGAGGCCACCUCUCCAUCUCUGGACACCUGCUCGCCCCCCGUUCUUCAUCCCAUGCAGAGAGAGACUGGCUAAAGGUCGGACUCAGAAGUGAACCAAGGUGGUGGUCUGCGUGUGUCCAGUGAGUCGGUGGCCUGGUGUGGAUCAGGCCCGUUGCGCCUGUGUGUGUCCCUGCCACGGAACCCCUCUCGGUGGGCCGACGUGAUGGAUGAUGCCUGGAAGCUCCGGGGCUGCAGUGUGUUCAUGCUUGUUUUUCCAGUGGAAUGCCGGAGUCUGACCCCAGACAGGAACCAGAGGAGGACGUGUGUCUGCUCAAACAUCAUCACAGACAAAACAUCACCCGCAGCCAAAAGUUUGGAUUUUACUUGUCACUUCACAGAGGCACAUAAAUCCCGCUUUUGAUUUUGGCUGUCUCUGUUAACACAGCUUGUCAGUCGAGAUAAAGGUGCCUCAACACCGUCAGUCACAAUAAGCUAUCAUUACCCUGCAGUAAGUCAUUCAUUAUCCAUCUGGAGGAGAGGGUGAUUUGACAAAGUGAAGUAAACACCACCAAACUGUGAACUAAGUUAGCAAGACAUUUUUAAGCGUAGUGUAACAUAAGUUCUUUUGUUUAGAUUUUUUAUGCCAUAUACUCAUUCCAUACUUCAACCAGAGACAUUAAACACCUAAUGUGAAAAGAUAAGGCCGCAGUUUAGUUAAAUUAACUCUGGUUGAAUAUAAAUAACAUCAUACCUACACAACAAGCUGUGAUCAACUUCCCUUUGACUCCAAAUACAUUACUGCGUGCUUAUAAAAUGUUUGACAGAUGCACAUAUAUUAACACAGGCAAAUGGUUUGUAUGGGUUUGUGUGCCCCCGUAAGCCGUUGAAGCAGCUGCCUUCUCUUCUCUGACAGGUCUUUGAAGUUUCGUCAUCGACUCAGACACGAGCGUGCCGCUGAGCUGAUGGCGCGGUGGCUGAACUUUAAAGUUGCAAAUCGGGCUGAGCUCUUAAAAGCCGACGGGAUGCUGGAUGAAUUAGGUGAUAUCUAAACAACCGGAUCCGUAGCGUGGGCACGAAGUGUAGUAUAAAUCAGCAAUCCCUCCACUCCCCCCAGAUAUCAAACCCUCGCAGCCGUGUGUGUCCUGCCUGUACAGUUCCAUUUGGGGGAUCUGGAAAAGAUUAGAGCUUGAGCACUAACAAUGCCAUGGGAUGGUUUAUGAGGGGUUGAACAUUAUCAGGCACGGUGUGUUAGACAACAGGAAAGAACAUCACAACCCAUUACUCAGCGUACGCAUGAAACACUCACGGGACAUAAAUAAGAGUAAGAGGUCGGUCCACAGGCGACCAACUCAGAUAUUGCAACACGGCAAUCUGCGAAACUAUCUGGGCCUAUUGCAACCAGAAAGAUAGUCUUUAGUGGUUUAAGCCAAAUAAUAUUUAAACUUAUGAAAAGAAAAUGUGCUCUUGCUCUUUUGGGAAUUUCUGUUUAAAAACCAUAAUUCCCUUAUAGCUGCCCUGAUCAAUAUCUUCAUUUUCUAUUGAAGAAUUACAGUCGUGGGAAAGGAGUUACAGUUAAUGAUGAACACUGUUUUUCUUCAGCGAGUUAUUAAACUUUUGGCCUGUAGCUUUACUGUUCUGACUUAAUUAUCAAACAAUUAUCGUGCAAUUAUAGUGCAAUUAUAAACCUGUUUAUAUUUAUCAGACAACCAGAAACAAGACUGCAGGUUAACCCUAAUGUUACUGCAACUGUUUUCAAGUACAUAUCAACUUUAAAAGUGAUGAUGUGUCAGAGUUGUGUUUAUACCUUAAAAAAAAUAAAUCAGUUACUGCAGGUUUAAAGAUAUUAAUUCACUUUGUACACUUCUAAUGAUAAUGUCCAGUCACAAAGAGUUAAACACCCAAAAUACAACAAACAAACAAACAAACAAACAAAAAAAAAUGUAUACAUAUUGUCAUUUAUCUCUCAUGGCAUUCAGCCAUGCAGAUAGUGUUGCUUUUAUUUUGUGGCACUAAAAUCUAUGCAAAAUUUCAACAACAACAACAAAUACAUGAUUCUCUUUCCAUAGACGGUGCCCUAGUUAACUCUGGAUAACCCAUUGUGCCCAUUGUAUCUGGACUGAAACUUGAUUCUCUUCCAUUAUAUUGAGGUGGAGGCAGAAUUCUACCACACAGAUAUCCCAUAACCUGGACAAAUAAAAAGAUGUGUGGAGGGUUUUCUACAGCUACGGCAGAGUACUCGGUCUCGGACAUGUUGGGAGCCUCGAUGAGACGCGCUAAGCCCGUCCUCGUUGAGUAUUUGAAGAUGAAGGCCUUCAUGAGGUCAUAGCGGUAGUUUCU
Scophthalmus maximus (turbot) is the source of this 3588-nucleotide long non-coding RNA. RefSeq lists it as uncharacterized. Lineage: Eukaryota; Metazoa; Chordata; Actinopteri; Pleuronectiformes; Scophthalmidae. The record is from RefSeq and is a predicted model, not a curated record. The transcript is spliced from 4 exons.